GAGCUAGCCGUGGAAGGUGGGACAGAUUCUUGGGGUGAAGUCGUAUCAAGGUAGACGUAUCGGAAGGUGCGGCUGGAUCACCUCCUUUCUAAGGA
This 95-nucleotide ribosomal RNA is filed under the name Mammaliicoccus vitulinus. RNAcentral describes it as "Staphylococcus vitulinus partial 16S ribosomal RNA". It matches the Rfam family "Bacterial small subunit ribosomal RNA", at positions 1446 to 1533 of the family's 1533-position model. The record is from RNAcentral. Lineage: Bacteria; Bacillati; Bacillota; Bacilli; Caryophanales; Staphylococcaceae.